UAGCUCACUGGUCGAGUCGGCCUGCGCGGAAGAUGUAACGGGGCUAAACCAUGCACCGAAGCUGCGGCAGCGACGCUUAUGCGUUGUUGGGUAGGGGAGCGUUCUGUAAGCCUGCGAAGGUGUGCUGUGAGGCAUGCUGGAGGUAUCAGAAGUGCGAAUGCUGACAUAAGUAACGAUAAAGCGGGUGAAAAGCCCGCUCGCCGGAAGACC
RNAcentral lists this ribosomal RNA (210 nucleotides) under Escherichia coli. RNAcentral's name for it is "partial 23S ribosomal RNA". It matches the Rfam family "Bacterial large subunit ribosomal RNA", at positions 1138 to 1346 of the family's 2925-position model. The record is from RNAcentral. Lineage: Bacteria; Pseudomonadati; Pseudomonadota; Gammaproteobacteria; Enterobacterales; Enterobacteriaceae.